UACGUAGGGGGCGUAGCGUUGUCCGGAAUCACUGGGCGGUAAAGGGUUACGCAGGCGGAAAUGCAAGUCAGGUGUAAAAGGCAGUAGCUUAACUACUGUAAGCAUUUGAAACUGCAUAUCUUGAGAAGAGUAGAGGUAAGUGGAAUUUUUAGUGUAGCGGUGAAAUGCGUAGAUAUUAAAAAGAAUACCGGUGGCGAAGGCGACUUACUGGGCUCAUUCUGACGCUGAGGAACGAAAGCGUGGGUAGC
Molecule: ribosomal RNA, 248 nt
Filed under: uncultured bacterium
Lineage: Bacteria
Description: partial 16S ribosomal RNA
Rfam family: Bacterial small subunit ribosomal RNA
Source: RNAcentral